AAGUCGUAACAAGGUCUCCGUAGGUGAACCUGCGGAGGGAUCAUUACAAGUUGACCCCGGCCCUCGGGCCGGGAUGUUCACAACCCUUUGUUGUCCGACUCUGUUGCCUCCGGGGCGACCCUGCUUCCGGGCGGGGGCCCCGGGUGGACAUCUCAAACUCUUGCGUAACUUUGCAGUCUGAGUAAAUUUAAUUAAUAAAUUAAAA
Molecule: unclassified non-coding RNA, 205 nt
Filed under: plant metagenome
Description: partial contains small subunit ribosomal RNA and internal transcribed spacer 1
Rfam family: Eukaryotic small subunit ribosomal RNA (bases 1-46)
Source: RNAcentral